RNAcentral lists this ribosomal RNA (491 nucleotides) under uncultured bacterium. RNAcentral describes it as "partial 16S ribosomal RNA". It matches the Rfam family "Bacterial small subunit ribosomal RNA", at positions 29 to 506 of the family's 1533-position model. The record is from RNAcentral.
AGUGAACGCUGGCGGUAGGCCUAACACAUGCAAGUCGAACGGCAGCACAGUAAGAGCUUGCUCUUACGGGUGGCGAGUGGCGGACGGGUGAGGAAUACAUCGGAAUCUACUUUUUCGUGGGGGAUAACGUAGGGAAACUUACGCUAAUACCGCAUACGACCUACGGGUGAAAGCAGGGGAUCUUCGGACCUUGCGCGAUUGAAUGAGCCGAUGUCGGAUUAGCUAGUUGGCGGGGUAAAGGCCCACCAAGGCGACGAUCCGUAGCUGGUCUGAGAGGAUGACCAGCACACCGGGAACGAGGACACGGCCCAGACCCUUACGGGAGGAAGCAGUGGGGAAUAUUGGACAAUGGGCGCAAGCCUGAUCCAGCCAUACCGCGUGGGUGAAGAAGGCCUUCGGGUUGUAAAGCCCUUUUGUUGGGAAAGAAAAGCAGCAGGUUAAUACCCCGCGGUUCUGACGGUACCAAAAGAAUAAGCACCGGCUAACUUCGU